CCCACCUCCCCGCACCGCGCACGCCGAGCGCUGCCUUUGCCGCCCCCGCCGGCUGCAGGGCCCCGUGCCUUGGCGGGCCUCAUCCCGGCGGGGUGCGGCGGGAGGCGAUCGUGCCGUCCUCACCUUCGCGCGGGGCGAAGAGUGCAACUGCGGCCUCACCCGCGGCCUCCCGCUGCACCCAGCCCCCAACCAACAAACCUGAUCGGCCGCCUCCAGCACCGAAUCCCGGCCGCGGUAACAAAACGCAUGCGCACACCCUUCCCUUCUCCCUUCCAGAGCGCAUGCGCGCACGCUCGCUACCGGCGGCGGGGGUGCAUCGCGAGAAGGGCCGUUGGGCUGGCGCUGCCUGCGCUGCCGCCUGCUCUCGAGAGAAACUGGGUAUGCAGAAAGAGCUGGGAUGGAACAGAACUGGAACUGCUGACCCAAACUGACCAAAGGGAUGUCCUGUACCUGAAUGGCGUCAUGCGGAACAAUAAAACUGGAUGACUUAGCUGGGAGGGCUGCCGCUGCUCGGGGCCUGGCUGGACAUCAGUCACCCGGAAGCCAAGAUAGUGUGCACCUGAAGCUUACUUGAACUAA
RNAcentral lists this long non-coding RNA (579 nucleotides) under Gallus gallus (chicken). Its description in RNAcentral is "long non-coding RNA NONGGAT011866". The record is from RNAcentral. Lineage: Eukaryota; Metazoa; Chordata; Aves; Galliformes; Phasianidae.